This 318-nucleotide ribosomal RNA is filed under the name Triticum aestivum (bread wheat). RNAcentral's name for it is "partial small subunit ribosomal RNA". The record is from RNAcentral. Lineage: Eukaryota; Viridiplantae; Streptophyta; Magnoliopsida; Poales; Poaceae.
AUGCUACCUCAUAUGUAUGGUCCUUUCACUAUUGAUUCUUGCUUGCAUAUUAUGUGUAUAUUAGAAAUUAAGUUCCCCUGGUUAGAAGUAACUAUAGAUUCAUGUUUUCCAAAACUAUUCAGGGAAGUUAUUUUGUUUGUCUGUCGAAGUGUUGGGAUUUGUAAUUCCGUGGAAGAGGCAGAGGGCGCAUGGGGUCUGGUUGGGUUGGAAGAAAUGGCAGCGAUUUACGAUGGCCCGGUGAUGACUGAGACCUACUUCGCUGCUCUGGUAAAAAACUUCUGCUUGAGCUCCAAUCCCGGUCGGCUGGAUACCCUUUAA